RNAcentral lists this ribosomal RNA (463 nucleotides) under uncultured bacterium. Its description in RNAcentral is "partial 16S ribosomal RNA". It matches the Rfam family "Bacterial small subunit ribosomal RNA", at positions 28 to 507 of the family's 1533-position model. The record is from RNAcentral.
GACGAACGCUGGCGGCGUGCUUAACACAUGCAAGUCGAACGGAAAGGCCUUUUCGGAGGUACUCGAGUGGCGAACGGGUGAGUAACACGUGGGUGAUCUGCCCUGCACUCUGGGAUAAGCCUGGGAAACUGGGUCUAAUACCGGAUAGGACCGCACUUUUGUGUGUGUGGUGGAAAGUUUUUUCGGUGUAGGAUGAGCCCGCGGGCUAUCAGCUUGUUGGUGGGGUAAUGGCCUACCAAGGCGGCGACGGGUAGCCGGACUGAGAGGUUGGUCGGCCACAUUGGGACUGAGAUACGGCCCAGACUCCUACGGGAGGCAGCAGUGGGGAAUAUUGCACAAUGGGCGCAAGCCUGAUGCAGCGACGCCGCGUGGGGGAUGACGGCCUUCGGGUUGUAAACUCCUUUCGCCAGGGACGAAGCGUUUUGUGACGGUACCUGGAGAAGAAGCACCGGCUAACUACGUG